UGCCAGCAGCCGCGGUAAUACUGAAGGUGCAAGCGUUAAUCGGAAUCACUGGGCGUAAAGCGCGCGUAGGCGGACUAGUCAGUCAGAGGUGAAAUCCCAGGGCUCAACCCUGGAACUGCCUUUGAUACUGCUAGUCUUGAGUUCGAGAGAGGUAAGUGGAAUUCCGAGUGUAGAGGUGAAAUUCGUAGAUAUUCGGAGGAACACCAGUGGCGAAGGCGACUUACUGGCUCGAUACUGACGCUGAGGUGCGAAAGUGUGGGGAGCAAACAGGAUUAGAUA
This 279-nucleotide ribosomal RNA is filed under the name uncultured bacterium. Its description in RNAcentral is "partial 16S ribosomal RNA". It matches the Rfam family "Bacterial small subunit ribosomal RNA", at positions 506 to 784 of the family's 1533-position model. The record is from RNAcentral.